AUUGAACGCUGGCGGCAUGCCUUACACAUGCAAGUCGAACGGCAGCAUGAUCUAGCUUGCUAGAUUGAUGGCGAGUGGCGAACGGGUGAGUAAUACAUCGGAACGUGCCCUGUAGUGGGGGAUAACUAGUCGAAAGAUUAGCUAAUACCGCAUACGACCUGAGGGUGAAAGUGGGGGACCGCAAGGCCUCAUGCUAUAGGAGCGGCCGAUGUCUGAGUAGCUAGUUGGUGAGGUAAAGGCUCACCAAGGCGACGAUCAGUAGCUGGUCUGAGAGGACGAUCAGCCACACUGGGACUGAGACACGGCCCAGACUCCUACGGGAGGCAGAAGUGGGGAAUUUUGGACAAUGGGCGAAAGCCUGAUCCAGCAAUGCCGCGUGUGAAGAAGGCCUUCGGGUUGUAAAGCACUUUUGUCCGGAAAGAAAUGGCUCUGGUUAAUACCUGGGGUCGAUGACGGUACCGGAAGAAUAAGGACCGGCUAACUACGUG
RNAcentral lists this ribosomal RNA (488 nucleotides) under uncultured bacterium. Its description in RNAcentral is "partial 16S ribosomal RNA". It matches the Rfam family "Bacterial small subunit ribosomal RNA", at positions 30 to 507 of the family's 1533-position model. The record is from RNAcentral.